UACGUAGGGAGCGAGCGUUGUCCGGAUUUACUGGGUGUAAAGGGUGCGUAGGCGGCAGAGCAAGUCAGGCGUGAAAGCCAUGGGCUUAACCCAUGAACUGCGCUUGAAACUGUUCUGCUUGAGUGAAGUAGAGGCAGGCGGAAUUCCCGGUGUAGCGGUGAAAUGCGUAGAGAUCGGGAGGAACACCAGUGGCGAAGGCGGUCUGCUGGGCUUUAACUGACGCUGAGGCACGAAAGCAUGGGUAGCAAACAGG
This 253-nucleotide ribosomal RNA is filed under the name uncultured bacterium. Its description in RNAcentral is "partial 16S ribosomal RNA". It matches the Rfam family "Bacterial small subunit ribosomal RNA", at positions 524 to 776 of the family's 1533-position model. The record is from RNAcentral.